Molecule: long non-coding RNA, 695 nt
Organism: Oreochromis niloticus (Nile tilapia)
Lineage: Eukaryota; Metazoa; Chordata; Actinopteri; Cichliformes; Cichlidae
Exons: 3
Source: RefSeq, a predicted model, not a curated record
UAUGAAAUAAAUGUCAUGGUCUGGGUGAGUGCGGGGUUUUUCCACUCCACUGGGCUCCACCUUCAGGCAGAGACUCCAAUCAGCCUCCACACCUGGUUCCAAUCAAGUCAUCAGCAUAUAAGACCAGCAUUCACAUCAGACCUCUGCCAGAUCUUCUGCUAACCGACGACCCACCUGGCAGUCACACUUCCCAAGCUAAGCUACUCACAUCUCUGCCUGGACGCUGGUUCUGUCAUCUGGUUGCUUCCUUUCCAUCAUUGGACUACACCUGCCUGCCUCCCUGCCAAGUCCCUCGCUCCAAGUAUAUUCUGGACCCUCUCUGGACACUCCUCACCCGGAACCCCUUGGACACCCGCUCCUCGCAUGACACCUUAACCUGCAACACUGACUGCGUACCUCCAUCCAAGCGGCUGCCCCUUUUUCCAUUCCCAGGAUCCAUCCAUGAAAUCUAGCACCUAGUCAUAGCACUCAGUUUCAUGUUCAUAGUUCGCAGUUUUUAGCAUUCUCCGGUCAUAGCAUUCCUAGUUCCCUGCUUUGUAAAUUAACUAGGCACUGUAAAUAAAGCACUGUGUUCACGCCCGUUUUGCCUCCCUUUGUGUCUGCAUUUAAGUCCACACCCACAGCCAGGCCCUCUCGGCCGUGACAAUAAAAAUGCCUUUAUCUUCUUUUUGAAGAUCACCACAGAAUCCAAAUGC